GACGAACGCUGGCUGCGUCCUUAACACAUCCAAGUCGAACGGGAAGGCCCUGCUUUUGUGGGGUGCUCGGCUGGCGAACGAGUGGGUAACACGUGAGUAACCUGCCCUUGACUUUGGGAUAACUUCAGGGAACUUAGGCUAAUACCAGAUAUGAGCUCCUGCUGCUUGGUGGGGGUUGUAAAGUUUCGGCGGUUGGGGAUGGACUCACGGCUUAUCAGCGUGUUGGUGGGGUAGUGGCUUACCAAGGCUUUGACGGGUAGCCGGCCUGAGAGGGUGACCGGCCACAUUGGGACUGAGGUACGGCACAGACUCCUACGGGAGGCAGCAGUGGGGAAUAUUGCACAAUGGGCGGAAGCAUGAUGCAGCAACGCCGCGUGCGGGAUGACGGCCUUCGGGUUGUAAACCGCUUUCGCCUGUGACGAAGCGUGAGUGACGGUAAUGGGUAAAGAAGCACAGGCUAAGUACGUG
This 468-nucleotide ribosomal RNA is filed under the name uncultured bacterium. RNAcentral's name for it is "partial 16S ribosomal RNA". It matches the Rfam family "Bacterial small subunit ribosomal RNA", at positions 28 to 507 of the family's 1533-position model. The record is from RNAcentral.